This is a long non-coding RNA of Coturnix japonica (Japanese quail), 5836 nucleotides long. RefSeq lists it as uncharacterized. NCBI's taxonomy places the organism in Eukaryota, Metazoa, Chordata, Aves, Galliformes, Phasianidae. The record is from RefSeq and is a predicted model, not a curated record.
UCGCUCAGAUGUCACCGAAGAUUCAAAGAGGAGGGGGUGCCUGUACUUUUUAUUCUUGCUUCCCCUUCUUAGCUGCUAGGCAGGGAUUUUUUCUCUGCCUAAAAUGGCUAAGACUGAGUCUUUAGUCUCCAAGAGAAGUCCUGGUGAGGGAGAGGAGCCCUCAGAGGGGCCUGCUUCUGCCAGGAGCAACCCCUCCUACAGCAGGCAGGUGGGCAGUGAAGCUGAGCUUCUUCACUACAGCCCAUGUUCCUGUCCUCACCUGGGCCCACUUGGAUAAGAGGUCUGAAGCUUUCAGGAAACGGAAGUCUCUCCGUCCAUCAGCCUCCAGCCUAUGCCCUUCUGUCACUUCCCAAAGCAGAAGCAGUACAGCAAGGUCUGAGAGGGCAGAACAUGCCUUUGUCCACUCCCUUAUUAUCCUGAACAGCUGAGUUGGAGCCACACACACCCUGUGGCCUCAAACAGCAAUAUUAAUUUUAAAAAGAAAAUCCUGCUUUUGAUUGGCUGUGCCAACUGUUUGACAGCACAGCUUUCCAGCAACUCAGAAUUUCUUGGUAAAUAGGGAAUCGUAACAAAAUAGGGAACAGGAACAUUACUUGAGGACUGAGAUUUAAAAUGGGAAGGCCAAAUUUACCUUCUUAGUUGCACCUAAAUUAAUAAUCUAAUUUUGUAAAGAAAUCAGAACCUAAACAGCUGCUGGUGGAUUUCUUGUAACUGUUCUAGAGAGUCACAUUAUGUUUUUUGGAGGAUUUGGAUGCAUAUGCUAUAGAAGAAUGAUAACCUAUUCUUAGGGUUUGCUUCUAUUCAUUGUUGAUUUUUAUUUUUUUUUUUAAUCUAUCAGUAUAACAAGUAAAUAUACAAGUGCUUUAAAACUUAAAGCACAUAAAAACUAUAUUGCAUUCAACAGAAGGGCCUAGAAUGUAUUUCUUGUUGAGCACGAGCUUUGAUAAGAUUAGUUGUCAAGUAACUAUUUACUUCCCAAUAUUACUAGUUUUAAGCUGAUGUUUCCCUAUCAAACUAGCUUCUUGUAUAUUUAGAGUCUUCUAAGAAGUGAAGUGUGAUUUCUCUAAACUAAUAGGCUAUUUAAGCCUUAAUUCCCUGUUAUAUAAAUGUUUUGUUAAGGCUAAAGCUUAGUUAUUUAACUGAGAAAUCUUUUAGUCUGCUUGAAAUAAUUCUUAAACAUUAAAGCUGAUUGUAAUGUUAAUUAAAACCAGUGGUUUAAGGCAAGAACUCUGUCCACGCCUCUGUAAAGGAAAUUAAUACAUCUUUAGUUAGAAUUGCAAGCUGUAGAAAGCAUAGCAGAUGUGUAGACUUUCUUUUACAUCCAGACUGGGUUUUUCAAAUAUGGAAUACUAUAUGAAUGUAGCAGUUGCUAUUAAUCCAUGGGGGAUGUGCCAAUAGACUGGUCCUUAAGUUCACUUACCUGUUACCCACUCUAGAAAGGCCCUGAACUUUAGAAAAAUGGAAAGAAAAUUCUCACACUAAAAGCAGGAAGCAGAUAUACACUGGGUGUGAAUAGAUUAAAACUGGAAUUUAGAAGACGAUGGUGUCUCAGAGUCAGAGCACUGAAAUUCAGUGAUGGCCUUACAGGUAAGUAAUACGUCCAGAAUGCUCCAUUCUGUGACAGUUCAUCUGUGUAUGAUGACAGUGAGAUGAUGUGGGGUUGCUUGUAAAAACACUGUUGACCCAUCUAGCCCUGGGAUCUUGCCUUGUGAUCUUUCUUCACAUGCAGUGCUAGGAGCUCAGCCUCCUCUUCUGUUAAGCUUUCACCUGCGUGGGCAGAAGAACCAACCUAUAACUGACUGUUUCCAACACUGGGCAGGAAUGUAGACAGAAGUCAGUGCUGAAAAACUUUAGGACCACAUAAUUCAGGCACACAAUUCAGCCACUCAAAAUAGGGAAUUCCAGGUGUAAAUCUGCCUGCACAACUUUAAUUGACAUUUUGCCUGGUGCAGGUGCACACUGCACCUCAUUUAUAUUCCAGCUCCCCUGAUUCAAAUGACAUUUUUUGCUGGAUCAAAACUUGAGUAAACUGGGGAGGAGAGCGUCCCCCUUCUCUUUUUUUCCCUGAGUGCAUUUCCACUCACUGUCCUGCAAAUUUCAGCACUGCAUACCUUGUUCCUUACAUGGCCUCCCUCUCCGCUUUCCCUUGCACCUCCCGCGGUGUUUCCAAGGCUGCAUGUCCCCCUCCUUUUUAUUUCUCCUUAUCUUUGUGACUUGCAGCCAACCUGUGGAGGUUGUAGCAGUGUGCUGGGGCGGAGUGAAGACAUGGUGGGAGGGUGCAGCCUGGCACCUGCUGAACCCUAGCGCCCAAAGCACGAGGCUGCACCUGCAGGAUGUGUGGGAUCCCUACAGCUCCGUAAGUGCCUGCACACUUGAAGUCUGCUGUGGCUAAUUAAACCCUUUUCCAGCACACCAGGGGAAAAAAACAAGUAAUAUCCGUCAGCUUCUUGCCACCCAAACUGCAGCACGCAUUAGAAAGUCCAGCGUCGGCUUCACUUUGCCUGACUUUUCCCCUGUGUGAAACAGGGGGUACAGCUGUGUCAGUUCCUUUUAGUCUAUAAAGGAAAAGUGUUGCAUAGGUGUGAGUAUUAUUAGCUGCUUAAUAGAACUAGACAGCAUUAAAAAUGAACCUGGGGCAGAUGGGGUGCCAUAGCAGUGUCAGUUUAAACCCAGUUAGCUGUAGAAUUAUUGCUGAGAGCUGCUAAAGUGCAGGGCAUAAGUAAUUGCUGUAGCAUUCCUGUAACUGUCAGUAAUUUCUCUCUAGCACAGCCGCAUACAGCAGAGUUUCUCUACAGCUACAAGGAUUGAUUCCUGGCUCACAUUUUUCAAGUCUUUCAGGAAAACAAAAUUAAAAAAAUAAACCAAACAGUUGAGCUGCUUUCUCUUCUUCCAGCUCAGAAGAAGCAUUCACUGACAGACUGCUGUGUUCUUUUGUACUACUUGGAACUCCGUGGUCAGUGUUAUUUUUCCAUACAGGUAGGUUUUCCUGUGUCUAGAUGACAAGGUCAGUUCUGGUAACCAGAAAAGCUGAGAGAUGACUUCCUAUCGAGAUACAAUCUCAGUAUAAAUACAUCACCAAAACCUUUCUGCCUUAUUUCAGCUCAUGGAAGAGCAGCCAGAUGCAGACAUGGCUGGUUUGAGGUCCCUACACUGCUAUGAAGGGUUGAGAGGUGUGAAAAUCUGCAGGACUAAGCUGGGAAAGACUUUGAGGUUUUGUGAGAGAACUUCUGAGGGCUGAGGGAGCAGCAGGAUGUGCAGAGUAAUACAGCCAUCCAUGGUGCAGCUGCGUCCAGUUCUAGGAGCUAUCUUCUACCAGACUAUUUUCCACUCUCUUUCCACUGUUACCUUUCAGUACAGUGCCAAAACCCAUUUUCCUCAGGCUGUGUAAUGUUUUGUAAAACAAGGUGCUUGGUCAACUUAGUUCAUAACAAUGAAACUUCCAUAUUUAAUUUGGAGAUUUUUUUUCUAGAGAGCCCCUGUUUGUUUGUAUUUCAGCUUUCCACCUGUGACUUCUGCAUUCACAGCCUACUGCUGUGUUCCUACUGAAUUUCAGGGUUUUGGUCCCAAGUAGCCCUGGUGAAUCAGUGUGUCUCAGGAGUGUCUGCAUUUGCAUGCAAACGGCUUUUGAAGAGACCUCCAGCACAGCUCUGCUGAGACACUGCCUGUGCUGGGGCGAGGAACCCCCCUGAAGUGAAAGACUGCCUGUCAGACUCGACUACCUGUCUGUUAAUCUGACCACUUCAGACACCGAAUACCACACAGAACCCAUGUUGUUCCAAGAUGUGAACUCAUACACAGAGUAAGCUGACUCUUGACCAGUGGGUGCAGACAAGCAUCAGGACCUCUUGCUGGCCUUACAGUGUAACACACUGGGAACUUCUGAUGGUUCAGUUUGCUGCCUGGCUAACCUGGACAUCAGGUUGCAGGAAGACACUGUGUUACUGCUGCUGUGUAAGUCAGAGAUCAGCAAUACUUAGGUCACUUUAACAUAGCAUGCAUAUACCCUGCAGCCUGCUGCUAAGGGCCUGGCAAACCAGGGUCGAUCAUAUACUGUGAGACAAAGGCCUGAGAAGGAAUCAUGAAGGUCUGAGUGCUGCCAGCUUUGUUCAGAAGGCCUUCUGCACUCACCUCAUGGAGCCGGCCCCAGAGUCAUGAGAACCAAACAGAAGUGUGUAUGGAGGGUUAGCUCUCUCAUUUUGGUAGUAUUAUUUUGGUUCUUAUUGGAAACACCCAGCCAUUUGGUGCUGGUUAGAUGUGCUUCUUGGUUUUUGGAAGCAAGGACUUCUAUAUGCUAACAAAUUUUUGAGCUGAGCUUUAGACUGCAGAAGCAGUUCACCGAGGUUCUCUUUUUAGCUCUUAGAACUUCUGUGGUCAACCCAGUGUGUUAAUGCAGCCAAACCAGUUCCCUAACGCCUGAACUUUCCAGAGCUGGGAAGGAAAUAAAGUUUAAAAAAAAUAAUAAUAAAGUGACCAAAACCAGACAAACAGACAAGAAAUGUGUGGAUUUCCUUGUAAGAGGGGGAAAAAAAGGAGACGACAGAGUUUGAUCUGCUAUGUAAGUUUGUGAGGAAGGCUUGAUUGAUUUUAACCAGUUUAUUUCAACUAAUACUUAGAAUUUUUUCACUAGCGUUUCUGAACCUAGAUCAUUUUUUGCAAGGCAUCUGCCUCUGUGGAUCUCUCUUUCUCUUGUGGUCCCUCUCCAUUUGUUGUACAGUAGCCAUCAAUACACCACCUUUGCCCUCUGCGUGACGUGACUUAAAACCCACAUUUCUUAAAAGCAACCGGCUCCUGCUGUGGAAUGAUGCAGCUUUUGCCCUCUGUACAACAACCCCAGCCACACAAGUAGUCGUGAUCUCAUGCCGGAAAACUUCUGAAGGACAGCGGCCUUGUGCAGAACAACAAUCUCAAGCAGCACAUCAGUGUCACGCUGCUCGCUCGGUCUCCUCACCACUUCUCCGGUUUCAAGGUAUUUUUUGCUUUUGUUCCCCGAACACUGUAAAAAUAUUUAGCAUGCUUAGGAUUGACAGUAAUUAUCCUUUGCAAGAGUGAGCAGUUCGGCUGAUCAGGAUCGUUAAAGAAAACACCCGCAGACAUACACAUUCACUGAGGGGGUCUCAGCAGUUGAUUUCUGAGUUAUUUCCAAGGUAGAUGUAACUUUUAAGCUUUUUCUCAGUUUCCUUCCAAACCUCUGGAGUUCAGGUUCCAGUGCAGCCCCACAGGGAUUUUUGUGCCCCCGGUGCCAUUUUCUCCUCAAACAGUGGUUUGGCUGAAGCACAGACAGGAGCCUUUGCUGUCGAUGUGGCUCCCUUAUGCCGUGGCUACAGAAAGCUCCCAUCUCUCAUCUAUUUAAAACAUCUAUUUUAGAGCAGUUUUAAAUAGAUGAGAACUAAGGAGGAAGGGACCGCUGUGCUCUUAACUCCGGCUUUUGCCUGGAAUUCUGUCAAUGCGAAACCCUCCUGCUCCCCAGGCCGGCUGUGCCAGUAACGUUUAAGAGGAAAAUCUCAUGGGUUUGGAGGCAGGGUCAGUGUCCUUAAAGCUCUGGAAAGGAGCAGAGGAGGACCUGCGGAGGAAGACCUAAAUUCCAAGCUGCUGCAUUCAUAAGCUGUUUGAUUAUCCGAGAGGGUUUUUUUGGGGAAAGAACUCAAACACGUCAGAUUCUGAGCAUAUGAAAAGAUGGAAUCCUCCUGGUGCUCUGCAAACUUUUUAUUUACAACGCUACAAAGUGGCAUCAGUUAAGAUACACUGUUGAUAAACGUAGGCAGUUCUGCUUACACGUUAAUUCCUGGGGUACGCUUUGGGUUCGUGUUUCGUCCUUUGGGAAACACACGACAACAAC